Long non-coding RNA from Osmerus eperlanus (European smelt), 2493 nucleotides. RefSeq lists it as uncharacterized. NCBI's taxonomy places the organism in Eukaryota, Metazoa, Chordata, Actinopteri, Osmeriformes, Osmeridae. The transcript is spliced from 2 exons. The record is from RefSeq and is a predicted model, not a curated record.
GACUGAGAGAGGGAGGGGGAGACAGAGGGAGGGAUGGAUCUAGUCUCUUUGUCUCUGCUCACACCAGGAAACAGAAAGGGAGGAGGCCUCACCAACCAGGAAAUGACCCGGCUGCUCUGAGGCGGCAGGCCUCAGGCUGGCAGGCUGAUUACUCACAGGAAACAGGAAGUGGAGGCAAGUUGUGAAAGAAACCUGCAACAAGAUUGUGUGUCAGGGAGGCUGAGGCCAGGUGUGAGUCUGUAAGCGGUGUAAAGGCUGCGUCUGCUCUUCCUCCAGAAACAUCUCAGUGUUCACAACCUCCUCUGGCAGGAAGUCACCCUGUCAUGUGAUUCUCACAGGCCAGAACUUGUCAUGUGACUCACAGGCCAGGACCUGUCAUGUGACUCUCACAGUCCAGGACUUGCUGAGGCUGUAAAUACAGCCGUGAAAUACUCUGAAACUAUGCUUUGAAAGUUUAACGAUGAGAUAAAUUAUGAUUUUUGGGGGAUUCCCAAGGGAGAUGCUAAUCAUUGAGGUAAAAUUAUUAAAGCAAAAAGCAAAAGUUUGAUAACUUAAUUGGACUUAAUAACUAAAUAAGUUAUUUUCCCUUUUGUGUGUAUUAAGAUGUUUUUUUUUGUAGUGGGUAUAUAACGUUCUUGUUAGUUUUCAAGAGGAAUUCAAACAUACACUGGUAUUACCCUGCUGUGAAUCAGACAAACAUUGUUCAGUAAUCAUUGACUUAUUUAUAUUUAAUUUAUGAGACUAUUGAAUGCGUCUUGCGUUAGCUGGGCCCUCUGCCGACGGCCCUCUGCCGACGGCCCUCUGCCGACGGCCCUCUGCCGACGGCCCUCUGCCGACGGCCCUCUGCCGACGGCCCUCUGCCGACGGCCCUCUGCCGACGGCCCUCUGCCGACGGCCCUCUGCCGACGGCCCUCUGCUGACGCUCCCCUCUGACACCAGCACUGUGACUGGGAGUGUGUAGAGCAGAUUGUGUGUGUGUGUGUGUAGAGCGGGUGAUGUGUGUCUGUGUAGAGCGCCUGGUGUCACUGUAGAGCAGCUGGUGUCUCUGUAGAGCAGCUGGUGUGUGUCUGUGUAGAGCAGCUGGUGUGUGUCUGUGUAGAGCGCCUGGUGUCACUGUAGAGCGGGUCCAUCUAACCACCACUGCCAAGUUUGCCUGCUGUUUCCCUUGUUUGGCUCAAUGGCUGAAUAGAAGAGUAUUGAUUUGAGUAUUGAUCCUGAAGACCAUGUCAUGGUUGCACUGCUGACUCUGCCAUGCUAGCUAGCUCUGUCAUGGCACUGCCAACUCUGCCAUGCUAGAUAGCUUUGUCAUGGUGUCACUGCCAACUCUGCCAUGCUAGCUAGCUCUGUCAUGGCGUCACUGCCAACUCUGCCAUGCUAGCUAGCUCUGUCAUAUUGGCACUGCCAACACUGCCAUGCUAGCUAGCUCUGUCAUGGUGGCACUGCCAACUCUGCCAUGCUAGCUAGCUCUGUCAUAUUGGCACUGCCAACUCUGCCAUGCUAGCUAGCUCUGUCAUGGUGUCACUGCCAACUCUGCCAUGCUAGCUAGCUCUGUCAUAUUGGCACUGCCAACACUGCCAUGCUAGCUAGCUCUGUCAUAUUGGCAUUGCCAACUCUGCCAUGCUAGCUAGCUCUGUCAUAUUGGCAUUGCCAACUCUGCCAUGCUAGCUAGCUCUGUCAUAUUGGCAUUGCCAACUCUGCCAUGCUAGCUAGCUCUGUCAUAUUGGCAUUGCCAACUCUGCCCUGCUAGCUAGCUCUGUCAUGGCACUGCCAACUCUGCCAUGCUAGAUAGCUUUGUCAUGGUGUCACUGCCAACUCUGCCAUGCUAGCUAGCUCUGUCAUGGCGUCAAUGACAACUCUGCCAUGCUAGCUAGCUCUGUCAUAUUGGCACUGCCAACUCUGCCAUGCUAGCUAGCUCUGUCAUGGUGGCACUGCCAACACUGCCAUGCUAGCUAGCUCUGUCAUAUUGGCACUGCCAACUCUGCCAUGCUAGCUAGCUCUGUCAUGGUGGCACUGCCAACUCUGCCCUGCUAGCUAGCUCUGUCAUGGUGGCACUGCCAACACUGCUGCGCAUGUGUGGGCUACAUACAUCUGUCUCCAUGGUGACAGAUGAAACGUGGAUGGCGGGGGUCUGGGACUUCCCCCUGCCCCUGGUAACCCUGGUAACAGCUAGCUGCCCCCACCCACACACAUACACAGCACCCAGUGAUCCUUUGUUUAAAAACUGUCCUUGAAGAUUUAUUCAUUAUGCGAUUUUCCCCCAAAAUACUUUUUUUCUCUUUAAUUCUUAUGGUUAUAAAGAGCAUUUUGUUGCAUUUGACUAACUGAAGCUUCCAGCCCAGUAUGUAUCCACGUCAGCUGUCUGCUCUCUGGCAGACACACCUUUUGGGUUUUGUAUGCUAACCUUUGUUGAUAAAAUGUUUAUAAAGUUUAUUUUCGCCAAAGAUAUGCAAUUGCAUUAUAUAUGGUAUUACAAAAUAAAAAUGUCUUGUUUUA